CCAUUGGGCUGGUUUUGGUUGGCCAUUGGGCUGGUUUUGAUUGGCCAUUGGGCUGGUUUUGUCAUACAGACAUGGCAGGCCAGAACAGACUGCAUU
Sander lucioperca (pikeperch) is the source of this 96-nucleotide long non-coding RNA. RefSeq lists it as uncharacterized. NCBI's taxonomy places the organism in Eukaryota, Metazoa, Chordata, Actinopteri, Perciformes, Percidae. The transcript has 3 exons. The record is from RefSeq and is a predicted model, not a curated record.